UGCUCCAUAAAAUGGGGGAGGCGGUGGUGGUGCUCCACUAGAUGCAGGAAGAUAUGGUGGUGGUGGUGUGGUGGUGCUCCACUAGAUCAGGAAGAAUAAGGCGGCGGUGGUGGUGGUGGUGCUCCACUAGAUGCCGGGAAGAUAAGGCGGCGGUGGGGUGGUGGUGGUGAUCCAACUAGAUGCAGGAAGAUAAGGCGGUGGUGGUGGUGAUGGUGCUCCACUAGAUGCAGGAAGAUAUGGUGGUGGUGGUGGUGGUGGUGGUGCUCCACUAGAUGCAGGAAGAUAUGGUGGUGGUGGUGGUGGUGCCCUAUAGAAUGGUGGAGGUGGUGGUGGUGGGGUCUUAGACAUUGAAGGAGGUAGAGGUGGUGGUGGUUGAGGUGCUCCACUAGAUGCAGGAAGAUAUGGUGCUAGUGGUGGUGGUGGAGCUCCAUUUAGUGGUGGAAGUGGGGAUGGUGGGGCCUUAGACAUUGCAG
Molecule: long non-coding RNA, 473 nt
Filed under: Lathyrus oleraceus (garden pea)
Lineage: Eukaryota; Viridiplantae; Streptophyta; Magnoliopsida; Fabales; Fabaceae
Description: Pisum sativum (pea) long non-coding RNA (PSAT_LNC021277)
Source: RNAcentral